AGAGUUUGAUCCUGGCUCAGGAUGAACGCUGGCGGCGUGCCUAACACAUGCAAGUCGAGCGAUUUACUUCGGUAAAGAGCGGCGGACGGGUGAGUAACGCGUGGGUAACCUGCCCUGUACACACGGAUAACAUACCGAAAGGUAUGCUAAUACGAGAUAAUAUGCUUUUAUCGCAUGGUAGAAGUAUCAAAGCUUUUGCGGUACAAGAUGGGCCCGCGUCUGAUUAGCUAGUUGGUAAGGUAACGGCUUACCAAGGCGACGAUCAGUAGCCGACCUGAGAGGGUGAUCGGCCACAUUGGAACUGAGACACGGUCCAAACUCCUACGGGAGGCAGCAGUGGGGAAUAUUGCACAAUGGGCGAAAGCCUGAUGCAGCAACGCCGCGUGAGCGAUGAAGGCCUUCGGGUCGUAAAGCUCUGUCCUCAAGGAAGAUAAUGACGGUACUUGAGGAGGAAGCCCCGG
Molecule: ribosomal RNA, 461 nt
Filed under: uncultured bacterium
Lineage: Bacteria
Description: bacterial SSU rRNA
Rfam family: Bacterial small subunit ribosomal RNA
Source: RNAcentral